Molecule: small nuclear RNA, 267 nt
Filed under: Neotoma lepida (desert woodrat)
Lineage: Eukaryota; Metazoa; Chordata; Mammalia; Rodentia; Cricetidae
Description: 7SK RNA
Rfam family: 7SK RNA
About the family: 7SK was discovered as an abundant small nuclear RNA in the mid-70s but a possible function has only recently been suggested. Two independent studies have found that 7SK RNA binds the CDK9/cyclin T complex (known as elongation factor P-TEFb).
Source: Rfam by way of RNAcentral
AGAUAUAAAGGUCAUCUGGUUACAGCACCUGAUACCCCACUGAUUGCCAGGAUCAAUGCUAAUGAUCUGGCUGAUGGUGUCCCUUUCCUCCCUAACUGCCUCAAAGGUGUCCAUUCCAGAGUGGCACACUCAGUCAAAGUGGAUGACCUUCACCACAGAGGAGGACCAAUCAUUGGCCAAGGGUAUUCGAGUAGCUGCUAGAACCUCCAAACAAGCUCUCAAGUAUUCUCAAAAACACAGUGCUCCAUCCUGAAGGAAGGGCUUGCU